Molecule: non-coding RNA, 1258 nt
Organism: Pelobates cultripes (western spadefoot toad)
Lineage: Eukaryota; Metazoa; Chordata; Amphibia; Anura; Pelobatidae
Source: the annotation of a GenBank genome assembly
GUGACUGUAAAACUGGAGAAACAUCAACAUAGUGCCAAAUCAGAAGAGGGUCGCCUACACUAUGAUGGGGAAUGGUACGGACGAGGACAAGCCAUCUCCAUUGACAAGAAGGAUGAAUACCCAACCAGGUAUAGGACCUUCUAAAAAAAGGAUAGCUGAAUAUACCAUUAUCAUACUACAGUAUACUGUCAUAUUUUAUUUUUGUUCCAAAUAUAAUGAGCUACUUGGAAACAUUUGAGGGCUGCUGCUUUCCCAGAAAUCUGUCUCUACUGGGCAGUCCCAAAAGUAGAUGGACCAUAAAGGGGCAGAAUCGUCCCUAAAAUGAGCAUUUUUAAUUUUUUAUUUUUUUUUACUUGGUUUAUUAUGCAGAUUUAAGUAGGACGUGUGUGGGGCUAAAAGCAGCUUCAUGCCUUUACCCACAUUAACGUGUUGCCCUUGAAACCUGGCUAAUGCCUGCCUUAUCUGAAGCUUCUAGUGGGAUAGCAACACAUACCCGUGCUUGCUACUUAGCUGGUAGAAAGUGCAUCUUGUUAUUGGUUUGCUGUAUGUUUUUUAUUUUUUAAAUGCCCCACUCCUUCAGUUUAGUAAACCUAAAAGAAAUAUUAAUAAUCAGGUUCCUCCUAACAGAUGCUUCCAUGAAGGUGAGGCUUUUAUAGAGACAUACGCUAUUCCCAUGACUCUGCAAUCUGUUUGAAGGUAUGUAACAUAACCACACAUCUCCUGACCAACUGCCUUUCCUUCUUCAGGUUUUCUUUUUCUUUUUAUACUGUAGUGUGAAGACUAUCUAAAAAAAAAAAAAUAAUCUUUGCACCUUGUGUGCUAAUGCAUAGAAUGAUAUUUAGAGGUUUAUUUAGGUUUAAAAAUCUGUUUUAAAAACACCAUAAAAAAGGAAGAUGUUCCAAAUACAAACCCCAAAAUUAAUUUUCUAAAUUGUAUCCUUUUUCUUGUGCUUUAUUUUAUACUCCAUUUUUUUUUUUUUCAUGAACAUUAAAUCUACUUUUACUGUCACCCCUACUCCCCCCUUGUUUUUUUACAUUUAAUUUUUUUUUCUUUUUUUUUUCUUAGUGCGAUCAUUACAACAAUAAACAGCGAAGAAGUUUGGUUUAAAAGACAAGAUGGCAGCAAGUCCAAACUAUAUAUUUCACAGCUUCAAAAAGGAAAAUACAGCAUAAAGCACAUCUGAUUAUGUACUUUGUUUCAACUGCCACUUGUCAUUUCUGAACUGGCCUCUGGGACAAUCUGUGCCAUUCAAAGGAAU